GCUUUGCUAAUGAGUCCCACAAUAGGACGAAACGGCCGUCCAGUGC
RNAcentral lists this non-coding RNA (46 nucleotides) under Schistosoma haematobium. The record is from RNAcentral. Lineage: Eukaryota; Metazoa; Platyhelminthes; Trematoda; Strigeidida; Schistosomatidae.